UAUAACAUGUGCUCCAAUGUCAUAUAGGUUC
RNAcentral lists this non-coding RNA (31 nucleotides) under Mus musculus (house mouse). Lineage: Eukaryota; Metazoa; Chordata; Mammalia; Rodentia; Muridae. The record is from RNAcentral.